Molecule: ribosomal RNA, 253 nt
Filed under: uncultured bacterium
Lineage: Bacteria
Description: partial 16S ribosomal RNA
Rfam family: Bacterial small subunit ribosomal RNA
Source: RNAcentral
UACGUAGGGUGCAAGCGUUGUCCGGAAUUAUUGGGCGUAAAGAGCUCGUAGGCGGUCUGUCGCGUCUGCUGUGAAAACUCAGGGCUUAACCCUGAGCUUGCAGUGGGUACGGGCAGACUAGAGUGCGGUAGGGGAGACUGGAAUUCCUGGUGUAGCGGUGAAAUGCGCAGAUAUCAGGAGGAACACCGGUGGCGAAGGCGGGUCUCUGGGCCGUAACUGACGCUGAGGAGCGAAAGCGUGGGGAGCAAACAGG